CAACCAGCAGCUGUAGCUCAGUGAUGGAAUGACUGCUUGGUGUUGUGUUGUGACUGUGGGCCUGAGUUUGGUGUUUUCAGCAGGUGUUCAGUGGGCAGGACCAUCUACUGCGCUGAAGGGCUGGAGGAGGUCUGAACAGGUCCAUACUUGACUUCAACAAGGGAGCGAAAUUCAAGGUCUUCAAGGACACAUCCAUCCAUUGUCAAAUGUUUAUCCUGCGUACAGGGUCGCGGACAAGGACACAUAGGGCCUAUUUAGGUUAAAAAGACCUAGCAGAUUUUGCCUUUAAUAGAAGAUACAUCAAUUUUCAGGUUCACGUUUUUUUUACCCCUCACUUCUAUUCUAGGUUGUUGGAUGAGGUCCAAAUGGCUAAUCCACCUCUAAAACGUGGGCUAGCACACUUUCUGGACAUGUUCACAAAUAGCCUAUACGUUUUGGGGUCCAUCUAAGAUUGCCCUUGGCCGUUUUGAUAACUUUAACAACCAGCAUGAUAUCUUUAGUUAAAGGAAGGGGAGUCCUCUUUAAGUAAAAUGUCCCUCAUUUGUAUGGAAUUUUUUAUUAGCUAGGUGAUUAUGAAAAACCUGAGCAGUGCUUCAGGAAGGGCACCUUUUAAGGUAAUCAGAUUUUAUUUGCGGAGCUUGGGAGAGAAGGCAGAAUUUUUUGUUCAAGACUAAGCUGUAAAAUAACCUGCAAUUUUGUAAUGAAUUGUUUGACUGCAACUGCUUUGUGCUGUCUAGUAAAUCCACGAGGGUUUGGCACUUUGUGUGCAUGACACAAAUAAAAGAAAACAGUUAUCAUGUAACAAUAAAGGUUAUUUUAACAAACACAUAAAAAGACUGGGAACAAUAGUUGGAAUUGCCGCUGGUGAGCUUCACUCGGCUCUCCCGUAAUCAGCAUCACUUUCUUCAGCUAAUCAAAUGCUGAAUCACUCUGGCAAAGCAGAGGGGAAAAGAGAAGUUGAGCUCAGAGGACGACCACAAAACUCCAGGAGGGUCCAUGUGAGAAACUGACCUAAUGAUGAUGCAGUGUGGGAUCAGAUAGGACAUCAGUCAGCAGCGAUAGUGACUUGAACGAUUGAGUUUUACUUUAGACUGAGGCUGUCUUCACCGUCCCUCCCUCCUCCAUGUGUCUGAUGCCUGCUGACUGCUGAAGAUAUCCAUCUCUUCAUCUCCUUGGAGCUUCACUCUGUUCUUUCACUACAUCACUCCAUCAUCUGUCCAGCAGUCAUGAAUCCCUACAGAAACACAAACUUGAACUCUCACCCACGUGAUGAUGCCUCGGGCUCUUUACCAAAUCCAUCUCGUUUUUAACCCCCUGACCCUUACGACAAUUCCCAUAAUCCAUCUUCAUCAGCCGUCUUACCGUCUCCUCCAAUCAUCCAGACGGGUCAUAGCUCUGUGACAGUUUUGAGCCAAUACUCCCCUCCCUAUCCGGCCCCCUCAGACCAAGAUGGAGGUCAAAGCAUGGUUCGGUCAUCAAACACGCCACUCCCAGGCUCAGGUCCAGGCUUCAGCCUCGGUUCCAGGCCUCAGUCCAGCUUAGCUUCAGUCUCAUCUCCAGCUAACCCUCCCUCUGCAGUGUCUGCUACACCAAACCCUUACCCUGCCCCCGCCACACC
Micropterus salmoides (largemouth bass) is the source of this 1618-nucleotide long non-coding RNA. RefSeq lists it as uncharacterized. The transcript is spliced from 3 exons. NCBI's taxonomy places the organism in Eukaryota, Metazoa, Chordata, Actinopteri, Centrarchiformes, Centrarchidae. The record is from RefSeq and is a predicted model, not a curated record.